RNAcentral lists this ribosomal RNA (422 nucleotides) under uncultured bacterium. RNAcentral describes it as "SSU rRNA". It matches the Rfam family "Bacterial small subunit ribosomal RNA", at positions 368 to 808 of the family's 1533-position model. The record is from RNAcentral.
GCAUGGGGGCACCCUGACGCAGCAACGCCGCGUGAAGGAUGAAGGUUUNCGGAUUGUAAACUUCUUUUAUUAAGGACGAAAAUUGACGGUACUUAAUGAAUAAGCUCCGGCUAACUACGUGCCAGCAGCCGCGGUAAUACGUAGGGAGCAAGCGUUGUCCGGAUUUAUUGGGUUUAAAGGGAGCGUAGGCGGACGCUUAAGUCAGUUGUGAAAGUUUGCGGCUCAACCGUAAAAUUGCAGUUGAUACUGGGUGUCUUGAGUACAGUAGAGGCAGGCGGAAUUCGUGGUGUAGCGGUGAAAUGCUUAGAUAUCACGAAGAACUCCGAUUGCGAAGGCAGCCUGCUGGACUGUAACUGACGCUGAUGCUCGAAAGUGUGGGUAUCAAACAGGAUUAGAUACCCUGGUAGUCCAAGGGCGAAUUC